AGAGUUCCUUGGCAUUCUGUCCACCUCCCCUUUUCUUUUUUAUCAAAACCCACAACUGUAGUAGGAAAAAGGUGAGAGGGAAGAGUUUUUCUGUGGGUGUAAUUAGGGCGUGGAUGUAGUUUGGAGUAGAAAAGAAAAAUAAGAUAGAGAAGGUGGUUUUUUUUCUGAAAAUUGAUGUAGGGUGGAGGUGGGCAUACUGCCAGUGGAGCUC
RNAcentral lists this microRNA precursor (211 nucleotides) under Cynara cardunculus (cardoon). RNAcentral's name for it is "miR394 stem-loop (cca-MIR394)". Its record names the gene cca-MIR394. Lineage: Eukaryota; Viridiplantae; Streptophyta; Magnoliopsida; Asterales; Asteraceae. The record is from miRBase by way of RNAcentral.